Molecule: long non-coding RNA, 2772 nt
Organism: Phasianus colchicus (ring-necked pheasant)
Lineage: Eukaryota; Metazoa; Chordata; Aves; Galliformes; Phasianidae
Source: Ensembl
UGGGGGGUCCUGGGGGCGUCAUUGGGGGUCUUGGGGGGAUUUUGGGGGGUCCUGGGAGGGUCUGAGGGGAUUUUGGGGGGUCCUGGGGUUUUUUAGGGGAUUUUGGGGGGUCCUGGGGGGGUCUUUGUGUUGACCGCCCCCCCCAAUUUCAGGACAUCAACAAGCGGCUGUCGCUGCCGGCCGACAUUCGGCUCCCCGAGGGCUGCCUGGAGCGCCUGGUGCUGCCAUCGCCGCUCAGCCGCCGCCUGCGCCGCGUCUCGCUGUCGGAGAUCGGCUUCGGCAAACUGGAGACGUACGUCAAACUGGACAAACUGGGAGAGGUGAGCCGAGCCGUGAGCUCACAAGUGGAGUCACCAUUGGGUCACUAUUGGGUCACCAUUGGGUCACCAUUGGGUCACCAUUGGGUCAUUGGGCCACUUUGGUUCACCAUUGGGUCACCAUUGGGUCAUUGGGGCACCAUUGGGUCACCAUUGGGUCGUUGGGUCACCAUUGGUUCACUACUGGGUCAUUGGGUCACCAGUGAGUCACUAUUGAGUCACUAUUGGGUCAUUGGGUCACUUUGAGGUACUAUUGGUUCACCAUUGGUUCACCAUUGGGUCACUAUUGGGUCACCAUUGGGUCACCAUUGGGUCACUAUUGGGUCACCAUUGGGUCGUUGGGUCACCAUUGGUUCACUACUGGGUCAUUGGGUCAGCAUUGAGUCACUAUUGAGUCACUAUUGGGUCAUUGGGUCACUUUGAGGCACUGUUGGUUCACCAUUGGUUCACUAUUGGGGCAUUGGGGCACCAUUGGGUCACCAUUGGGUCAUUGGAGCACUUUGGGGCACUAUUGGGUUAUUGGGUCACUUUGGGGCACCAUUGGUUCACCAUUGGGUCAUUGGGUCACUAUUGGGUGGUUGGGUCACCAUUGGAUCACCAUUGGGUCACUAUUGGGUCAUUGGGGCACCAUUGGGUCACUAUUGGGUCACCAUUGUGUCUCUUUGGGUCACUAUUGGGUCAUUGGGUCACCAUUGUGUCUCUUUGGGUCACUAUCGGGUCACUAUUGGAUCUUUGGGUCACUAUUGGGUCACUAUUGUGUCUCUUUGGGUCACUAUCAGGUCACUAUUGGGUCACUGGGUCACCAUUGGGUCACCAUUGGGUCACCAUUGGGUCACCACUGUGUCACUUUGGGUCACCAUUGGCUCACUGUCGGGUGACUGGGUCACCAUUGGGUCACUACUGGGUCACCAUUGUGUCUCUUCGGGUCACUAUUGGGUCACUUUGUGUCACCAUUGUGUUACUACUGGGUCAUUGGGUCACUAUUGGGUCACCAUUGUGUCACUUUGGGUCACUACUGGGUCACUACUGGCUCAUUGGGUCACUAUUGGGUCACCAUUGGGUCACUAUUGGAUCUUUGGGUCACUACUGGGUCACCAUUGUGCCUCUUCGGGUCACUAUUGCGUCACCAUUGUGUCACCAUGUGGUCAUUGGGUCACCAUUGUGUCUCUUAUGCUCACUAUUGGGUCACUAUUGGGUCACUAUUAGGUCACUACUGGGUCUCCAUUGUGUCACUUUGGGUCACUAUUGGGUCACUAUUGGGUCACUGGGUCACCAUUGGGUCACCAUUGUGUCACCAUUUGGUCAUUGUGUCACCAUUGGGUCACCAUUGUGUCCCUGUGGAUCACUAUUGGGUCACUAUUGGGUCACUGGGUCACCAUUGGGUCACCACUGGGUCACUGUUGUGUCUCUUUGGGUCACUAUUGGGUCACUAUUGGGUCACUGGGUCUCCAUUUUGUCUCUUUCGGUCACCAUUGGGUCACCAUUUGGUCAUUGGGUCACUAUUGGGUCACCAUUGUGUCCCUUAGGAUCACUAUUGUGUCACUCUUGGGUCACUGGGUCACCAUUGGGUCACCAUUGUGUCUCUUAGGGUCACUAUCGGGUCACUAUUGAGUCACCUUGGGUCACUAUUAGGUCACUAUUGGGUCUCCAUUGUGUCACUUUGGGUCACUAUUGGGUCACCAUUGUGUCUCUUUGGGUCACCAUUGGGUCACCAUUGUGUCCCUUAGGAUCACUAUUGGGUCACUAUUGGGUCACUGGGUCACCAUUGGGUCACCACUGGGUCACUAUUGUGUCUCUUUGGGUCUCUUUGGGUCACUAUUGGGUCACUAUUAGGUCACUGGGUCACCAUUGGGUCACCCUUGAGUCUCUUUGGGUCACUAUCGGGUCACUCUUGGGUCACCUUGGGUCACUAUUAGGUCACUUUUGGGUCUCCAUUGUGUCACUAUUGGGUCACUAUUGGGUCACUAUUGGGUCACUGGGUCACCAUUGGGUCACCAUUGUGUCUCUUUGGGUCACUAUUGGGUCACCUUGGGUCACUAUUAGGUCACUUUUGGGUCUCCAUUGUGUCACUAUUGGGUCACUAUUGGGUCACUGGGUCUCCAUUGGGUCACCAUUGGGUCACCAUUGUGUCACUUUGGGUCACUAUCGGGUCACUAUUGGGUCACUAUUAGGUCACUACUGGGUCUCCAUUGUAUCACUUUGGGUCACUAUUGGGUCACUGGGUCACCAUUGGGUCACCAUUGUGUCUCUUUGGGUCACUAUCGGGUCACUAUUGUGUCACCAUUGUGUCUCUUUGGGUCACUAUCGGGUCACCAUUGUGUCACCAUUGUGUCUCUUUGGGUCACUAUCGGGUCACUAUUGGGUCACUAUUAGGUCACUACUGGGUCUCCAUUGUGUUACUUUGGGUCACUAUUGGGUCACUAUUGGGUCACUGGGUCACCAUUUUGUCUCUUUG